This 462-nucleotide ribosomal RNA is filed under the name uncultured bacterium. RNAcentral describes it as "partial 16S ribosomal RNA". It matches the Rfam family "Bacterial small subunit ribosomal RNA", at positions 28 to 507 of the family's 1533-position model. The record is from RNAcentral.
GACGAACGCUGGCGGCGUGCUUAACACAUGCAAGUCGAACGGAAAGGCCCUUCGGGGUACUCGAGUGGCGAACGGGUGAGUAACACGUGGGUGAUCUGCCCUGCACUUUGGGAUAAGCCUGGGAAACUGGGUCUAAUACCGAAUAGGACCACGCGCUUCAUGGUGUGUGGUGGAAAGCUUUUGCGGUGUGGGAUGGGCCCGCGGCCUAUCAGCUUGUUGGUGGGGUAAUGGCCUACCAAGGCGACGACGGGUAGCCGGCCUGAGAGGGUGACCGGCCACACUGGGACUGAGAUACGGCCCAGACUCCUACGAGAGGCAGCAGUGGGGAAUAUUGCACAAUGGGCGCAAGCCUGAUGCAGCGACGCCGCGUGAGGGAUGACGGCCUUCGGGUUGUAAACCUCUUUCACCAGGGACGAAGCGUAAGUGACGGUACCUGGAGAAGAAGCACCGGCCAACUACGUG